GUAGCCGGCCGGAUAAGUCUCUUGGGAAAUCUGGCAGCUUAACUGUCAGGCUUUCAGGAGAUACUGUCUGGCUCGAGGCCGGGAGAGGUGAGAGGUACUUCAGGGGUAGGGGUGAAAUCUUGUAAUCCUUGAAGGACCACCAGUGGCGAAGGCGUCUCACCAGAACGGACCUGACGGCAAGGGACGAAAGCUAGGGGCACGAACCGGAUUAGAUACCCGGGUAGUCCUAGCCGUAAACGAUACUCGCUAGGUGUCGGCAACGGUGCGACCGUUGUCGGUGCCGUA
This 285-nucleotide ribosomal RNA is filed under the name uncultured archaeon SYA_2000_41. Its description in RNAcentral is "partial 16S ribosomal RNA". It matches the Rfam family "Archaeal small subunit ribosomal RNA", at positions 521 to 805 of the family's 1478-position model. The record is from RNAcentral.